Molecule: long non-coding RNA, 644 nt
Filed under: Chinchilla lanigera (long-tailed chinchilla)
Lineage: Eukaryota; Metazoa; Chordata; Mammalia; Rodentia; Chinchillidae
Description: lncRNA (ENSCLAG00000022369.1)
Source: RNAcentral
GGCGGGGGCGGGCUGGUGGAGCGGCUCUGUCACCUGGUCGUUGGCUUUAACCUAGUUUUACUUUUUUCUCUCCAUCUAUCACCUCAUGAGGCGCCCCACUCUUAGUCUGUCCAUUUGGACUCGUCAGCCAGGCUUCCCCUGGCAACCUACAAGUGGGGGGCAGGAGGAAAUGCUCUGUGAACACACAGGCCUGUUUCGGCACAGAUGUCAGGAAUGCGGAGCCAGUAAAUCUGCCCAGGCAGUUCUGUUCCUGAAUCAUUAAGAACAACCGAGUGGGUGGAACAAGAACAUGAAAUUGCUGUGUGCACUCAUGUUUUGUUUAUGGAGCAAUCACUUCUAGACGUGUUUUCUUCUUUUAUGAAGAAUCCUCUCCGUGUUUGCCUGCUGACACCCUCCUUCCUUCCCCUCCUCGGCUCUCCCACCCCCACUACAAAGAAGCAUCGAGCAUCGCAAAAACCUUAAAUCACAGAUUUGAAGAAUAGGAUACACUAAGUGCCUCUCUACGCGAAUCUCACUUAUUGUCAAAAUACAACAUUUAGUAAUGAAUAACACGGAUAACAAUUGCAUUUGAACGUUGUGUAUUGUUUAGAAAGCUCGUGAUAACUGCCGCUGAGUCAAAAAUGACGUCUUUUCCCGUCCUCGUG